AAGGAUCUUCAACUUGUGCUUCUUGACCUGCAAAUUAGCUAGAGAUUUUUCGUAACUAGUUUCUCAUCUGAUACUUGCUUUACUCACUCUCAGAACCAUUGUCUCCCAUUAAACAGCCAGUCCAGAAAAUGCUAAAUAAUAAAAAGAAAAAAUACAGUACAAAGAAUCAACAAAUAUACUAAAACCAAAAAGCCGAGCUGAACCUAACCGGGAAGCUAAGUCUGUUGUCCAAAUGAACAUGUCAGGUACCUCAGAACAAACUAUGAAGGAUUUAGGGGUAGCCUUUGUCAUGGCUCCUCACCACUAGCAGAGAUAACGAAGUGGUGACUUUUGUGGGAAAUGACAUAGAGCAGAGACAAGUCGCUGAAAGAAUAUACUAUGUGAAUAUUUCCUGUGAAGAUGAUAAGAAUGUCAAAUUACUUUAGCAGUGGUCUUAAUAGUAAUUAUUAGGAAUAAUAAACAUGGAAAGUAUGCUGUUUUAUCCAGUUAUUGACAUUAUGCGGAAAUAUACUUGGAUUCUUUUUUCAUAAUUCUGUAGACCAAGGAUGUAUUUUUAAAGCCAGAGAGGAUGAAGGCAUUUUUAUCUAUAGCUUCUUAAGCUACUGAUUUUUGAGGGGUUAAUCACCUCUGAAAUCAGUCAAAGCAGUUAAAUAGCCCCUGUGGAUGUUGACUCAAGUUGUGCCAGUGCUGAGCCAAAGAGUUAUAUUUGUUUUAACAUAAUUAUGUUAAUAUAUAUCCAUAUGUUUACAUGUAUAAUAUAUUUCAAUAUUCUGCCUUUAUUCUGGCAAAAGGUAUGUAAGCAAAUGAGUGAUCUGAGACACUGAAAGAGACUUCUUGAAGUCUUUUCUUGAAGUGAAGUGAAAAUGUGUAAAUAGCAAGUGUUUUGGGAAAAUGGUAACACUUAAGGAUGGAAACAUCUUUCUUUACACUCCAGGUUGGAUUUUUGUGCCAUGUAACUUCAGCAGUAUCAAGACUAAGCUCUGAGACAUUCCAUGGGAUAAGGAAAUACAGGGGUUCUUUCCUAGGAAAGCUUAAUUUUUACGUUUUACUGAAUAUUGCAAAAUAUUUUAUUUUAUUUUUCAUGGACAUUAUUUCCACUACAUAAAUGAUGCAUAUAGCAUGGAAAGGGGAUUCUGAGGUCCCUUGGAUCUACUUUGUGCUCUCUAGAAAUAGAUUGACUUGAAGCCACUAUCUUUCUUUAUUUUUAUUGUAGUUAUUUGAUAUGACUUGCUUAAUUCUCCUAGUGUUAAAAGUCUCAGGUUAUUUCGUGUGUGCGUGUGUGUGUUCCAUGCAUAUGUUCCAUUAUCUUGCAGCCUCUGAGGGUACUUAUAUCCGAAACUUAAAAUAAUUGGAAAAUCCUGUAUCUCUUAGAGACCAGGGCUGUAUUAUCUGAACUCUCUCAAUGAUAGGGAGCACGUUUGUUAGUACGGCCUAUGCAUGUUAUUCAGUUUAUAAACUUAAUUCAUUUAUACCUGAAUAGAUUGAUGAUUCCCCUGGAAACACACUAAUGGUGUUGAUAGCACCUGAGCGAGUCUUUUUUUUUUUUUUUUUUCCUCCUUCAAUUGGUGGAGAUCAUGAUCUAAGUGAGGCUUUCAUUUGCUAUCAGGCAGGGUAGGAAAUAAUUAAUGAAGCUCCCCCUGUACUGAAAUCUAUCAAGAGGUGAAAGAAACUCUAGGGAAUAUGGUAGGAUUUAUAUUUAUUUGCUUGUUUGCUGUCCUAGUUGGUGUCUCAUUGGCAGUACUAUGGAUUUUAGUUUUAGGAUGGUUUACCUAAUAGUAACAUGACUUUUGAUAAGAAAAUAGAGACUAUAAGUUCCGCACUAUCUUAUUAGCUUGAAGAGUAUCUUUAACUAUUUUAGGAAAUUAAUAUGAGAUUUGGAGAUUGUGGUCUAUAUUUAGAGCCAUUUAUUUGGAGGGAGAUUUAUCUCAUAAAUAAUGAUUCAUUUAUUCAAGUUUCUUGAGAGGAUCAUGGAAUCUGUUUUUCUUUGCUUUUUCCUGACUUUUCCACAUUAUAUUUAAAUUGUGAUUUGGUUUAAAUUGGUGGAUAUAAUGUUUGUCUUCUAGCAGACCAAGUGAAAGUCUUGGUUAUGAUUGAUUAGAGGAUGAUAAGAAUGUUCGAUGAUCUUUUUUGCAUCUUUGGCUAUUAAUCAGUCUAGAAGCUGAUUUCAGUAUAUGUGAAAAACGACAUAGGGAAAUACCAUAUACCAUAGUACCAUCUAGAUGACAGAGAAGGAGUCUUAGGAAUAGAUUUUCCUUCGGGUUUUUAGAAGUAUUCUCAAAGUUCUUCACUUUUUUCCUCCAGAACUGAUCCCAUCAAUGAGAAGCUAGUAAAGUGCUUUUUUUUUUUUUUUUCUUGCAGUAGAAACUGGAUAUAAGGAUGAUCAGAACUAAAUGAGGGGCUAAGUGAGUGGAAGGGAGGGUGGCAAGGGGUAAAGUAUUAUAUGCUUAAAGGGAGUCAUGAAUUUGAUGGCAAAAGUAGUUAGCUCAGUUUAAAAACUGCUUUAUUUGCUAGUGCUAACUACUAAUUUGUGUUAACCCAGAAAAUCCAGGAAAAGUGAACUGAUCACUUAGUAUUGGUACCAGACUUGGUAGACAUGUGUAUGUUUAUGUUCCAAUGGUAGGCAUGUGUAUAUAUGUGUUCCAAUACUCUAAUUCCUUUUGCUUUUAGGUUUUGACAGCACUCACAAUCAAAACCAUAAAACUGUUGCUGAGAAUUAGAGCUAUAGGUCUUGUUAGGGGUAGAACUCACCUUUACCUUCAGAGUAAGGGCUUCUUUCACAUCCUUAGAAGAUUGCCACAUGGGCAUUUGUAUGUCACAGGGGAUAGUUCCCUCCUCCUGUCUCACCCCUCAUUCUUUUUUUAUUAUUAAUUUCACUGGAGUAUAUUUUAUUUACAGUGUGUUAAUUUCCGCUGUACAGCAAAGUGAUUCAGCCAUACAUAGACACACAGACAUUCCCAUAUAGGUUAUCACAGAACAACAAGCAGAUUUCCCUGUGCUAGACAGCAAGUUCACCCCCUCAUUCUAAUACAGAGUGUCAAUGUAGUAGUGUAUUAAAAUCAAGACAGAAUUAAGCAACCAGUUGAAGCCAUAGGAGUGAAUGUCACUAACACAGAGCUGAAUGAUGUGUUUAUGUUGGUUAUUGCUGGCGUGCAAUUCUUAGAGGAAUGGAAAAAUCAUAAAAUCUGUGUAGCGACAUAAUUAGAACUCCUUGCUACUGUCAUAUGCUCCUUGCUGAUUUAGCUGCUGCUCAUCCACAGAGAAGAGGUGUUAUUUCACUACUAGAAUCCACAUACUUCACAGGCUGCAAGGCAGUGUGAGAAACAGUGAAGAAAGGGUUAGAUUAGACAGAUAAGGAUGAAGCAACAUACAGUAUUUUAAGGUGUGAAUCUUCUUGUGACACCAGGUUAUAUUUACUCACUCAAGGGACUGAAUUGAAUCUUUGGAUGGGAGAGGCUCUGUUUAGGAAUUACUGAUAUUUUCUUUGUUUGUUUGUCCAUGGUGUCACUGCUGGAGAUCAGUCUAGCAUGGGAUAAAUCCCGCUGUCAUUGCUAAAAUAAGCUGAAAAUGACAAGCUGGGAACUUUUUUUUUUUUUUUCCCGUUUCUGUUAUGAAAAGCUGUAGUUGUGCUAUAAGCUUUGCAAGAGAGAUUAGAAAGUCAUUCAACUUUCUGAAAUUUUACUGUACCCCUGAAAGAAUUUGGAAAGGGAAAUAGAAGAUUCUAAUAUAAGUUCCAGCCAAAUAUAAGCCUGUUCAAAAUAAAGUGUUCUAAGAUUUUGUUUUUAGUUUCUUCUUUCAGCCUUUCCCCUUAGUUAUUAAGCCUGUAGCUUUUUUUUUUUUUUUUCAACUGCAGAGAUAGAUAUUGUAAAAUGCUUGGCACUCCCACUCACCUUUGCUUCAACAAAAACCCAGGUCAGGAAGGCUUCUGCCAUCCUAGAUUUCUCAGGGAGAGCUUUUUUUGUGUGAUCUAGGUAGAUGUCUUCCCAUUUUAUAAAUCAGGUCAUGUCAGUGCAUACCAAGAAAGCUUCUGUGAUCACCUGCAAUGUGGGUCUAUUAUGUGCGGUUAUUAUCCUAGGUUGUUUUCUGCCUAUUACUGAACAGCUGGGAUUUUAAAAACAGCUGGAUGAUGAGUUGUGUCUUUUCCAUUUUUCACCCAGAUGCUUUAUUACUGUGUAGAAACAACCCCAGUGUGGAAUGAGCUGGGAAUAUAGUAGCAAAAAUCUUGCUCUGAUGCAACUGUUGUUGUUAGGAAUGUAAUGAAGAAAAUUAAGGGCAAAUGGUUUUGACUGUUCACUUUACAAAUAUGUUUUUAGAGGCAACAUACUCAUUUCCAUUCCUAGGCAAAGCAGUUGAUUUACCAACUUUGUAAAUGCUUCUUACACUGUUCCUUAGGCUACCAAAGCUAUGCUUUGGCUGUUACAUUUAUUUGCUUAAGGGGAAAUGUCUACACAUGAGGAGACAUCAUCUGAGUUUUCCAUUCGCUUCUAGCAAGGGGAGCUGACAGAGCAGGCAGGCUCCCAUCCUCUCGUCACUCACCAGUCUAUUUUUAGGUUGGUCCCUUUGUGACUGACUUCAACCCUGACCAGAAGGGUUGAAAUUUUAAGAAGAGUCUAUGUUUUAUUAUGACAGUUUGCAGGUUUAUAAAACUGAUAUUUUGAAAGGGACAUAUUUAAUUCAGGCGCUGUUUGUUGGUUCUUCACCCAGGGCUAAAAUUAGAAUUUAAAAAGUGCCCUGACUUCUUUUUCUUCACCAAUUAUUUUUUCAACAGAGGUUUGUUAAGCUCAUGCUAGGUGACUGGGCCAUGCUCCCACAAUCUCUGAAUGUACUAACAUUUCAGAGAAUCAUAGUCCCUGUAGAAGGAUUUUUGAGUUACGGAAAGAUUUAUUCUUCUAAAUAACAAGAUUAUUGUUUACGAUCACUAUUACCUUUUUUUUUUAGCCCCGAGAAUCUACAUGCAUGGCUGGUUUUGGUUUCUCCUUGGAGAGUGAAUUGCCAGGUUAUCAUGCUUUAAUAAUACUUUUUAUAAAUUCUGUCUAGUGUCUAUAAAGUGCUUUCAUUUCUGUGAUAGCUUCUGUAUAAGCUGUAGAGUAAAUGGCUCCGAAUUGUACAUGCAAGUUUUUUUUUUAGGAUUCUUACACAUGUAAUAACAAUAGUUGGUGCUUUCAAACGGUAGAGGUGAUCACUUCUACACAGUGUAUUAUUUUAUUUCCCAGAAUUUAUAUUUUUUUCUAUUUAAUAGCAUGUGUGAUUAAAUUGUAAGGCAGAGAGGAGGGAAGCAAAGAUUUGAUUGAAAAAAUAAACAUCUGUGAAACACUAAACAGUCAUAUUUUUUUAAUUUCAAAGUAGGUUUUUUCCUAGGACCAUGGUUCUUCUGGUUGUCUGUCUCAUAAAACACCCCCCCCACCCCCCAACACACACCUGUGUCUUUCUUUCUCCUUGGGAAUGGUAUGAGUGCCACUGAUGGUGCAUUUUCAAAUUUCGACUUCAGUAAAGACCUGAGUUUCCUCUUUGGAUAAAUGUAAAAAAUAGUGUGCUUCUGUGGACAUAGCUACUUAGACAAACCAAAUGAAACUGCUUCAAAUACAUGGCUAAGUCAGGGCAGUUGAGACCAACUUUCGGAAUUUUUCUGAGGUGCUUUCUGUCUGCAUUGAUCAGAUCCCCUAAGUGUUUGCUCAGAUUUCCAUUUGCUUUCAAGAUGCUGUUGGAUUUCUUUUUCUUAAGAGUUAAGGCUUUCACAUUUGAAACUUGAUUGUGAUAACUAGUUUAGUUUUAUCCAGCUUUAACUUCUUCAGAGAAACUCAAACUUCUAUGAAAUAUAUCUUAAGGACUAUCUUGUUUGUUUCUGAGUGUUUCAGAGCAUACAUUAGGGAUCCUGGCUUUUAGGCUUCAUUCAAGCCAAACAACCAUUAUCUUUAAUUGGAGCUGCUUCUAACUUGAAGCCAAAACAAUUGGUCGAGCCAGUG
Molecule: long non-coding RNA, 5960 nt
Filed under: Sus scrofa (pig)
Lineage: Eukaryota; Metazoa; Chordata; Mammalia; Artiodactyla; Suidae
Description: lncRNA (ENSSSCG00000061153.1)
Source: RNAcentral